CAAAUUUCUAAGCAGACAGAGACAGGUCCCCAGUGAAACCUCACCUUCAAGCCAAAGACAGUUUAAACCCUGAAAAUUGAGCUGCCAGUUCUGAAUAGAGUCCAUGACCAGAGUGAAAACUUCUAUUCCUGUUUGCCCACUCUUUACUGAUUGGUUCUUUCUGAAUAAUGCUUUUUAACCGAUCGAAUAUUCCCUUUUCCAAGGCUACCUAUAGCCUACACCUCCUCAUUCCAAACAUAUAAAAACCCUGCAAUCAGCCUCACAGACGGCUACCCACUUUUGGUCCCCUUUUGCAGUUGAGAGCUUUUCCUCUUUGACUCAAUAAACUUCUAUUCUGCCUUACUUGCUCUCCAUUGUCCACAUACCUCAUUCCUCUUAGUCAUGGGACAAGAACUGGACUGUGGGAACAAGAGAGCUGUAACACAUCCCUGUUCACCAAGCUGUGAGUGGCAGAAAUAAAAGAGCUCGUAACAUGCUCCCACUUGCAGAGCUACAGGAGUGAAGAGCCGUGACACUUCUGAGGGCCCAGAUAAUGGGACUCCCCAAGCAAAAGCUAUAACACUCCUUGGGGUGCUGCAAUUGCUGACAUUUCUGAGUUUUUGGAUGCCACCACGUUCUCCUCUUCUACAUGCUGGCACCCAAUGUGGAAGCCACUCGCAGCAUGCCUGGCUCAGCCACGGGCUAAGUGUGGAGCUGUGGUGGGCACAGGAUCCAAGUGGGUGUGAGCUGAGCACAGCCUGCUGGGCCAAGCGGGCAGAGUGAGCCCAGUGGGUCCAAGAGAAGCCCUGGACAGAGGUCACAGUGGCCACAGGGAUUUUUGCCUGACAAAGUGGCACUGAAGGAAUCCUGUGUCAUUUCUGGGAUCUUGUCCGGGAUCUGCAGAAGGUCCUCAGGAUGCCUGCAAUGAGAGGAUGGCCAACUUCAACUACCAGCCUCCAGCCAAUGCUAAGUUCUUCAAGUCCUUCACCAAGCCUUCCACAUGCGUAAGGACAAAACUAUCAAUUGGCCCAAAGUUUGUUCUCAUGUAAAAAUCUGCUAACAAUGGUAAACAGGGCAUUAAUACUUGUGAGACUUGAUUUAAAAAUAAUCUCCUCAAUCGAUGGUUUCGGUUUAUGCCCACCAGAACCCAAAGAAUGGUAGGCUACCUGAAGGAAGACUGACAGAUGGAUUUCACACAUAUCCCAAAGACAAGGGCCACCCAGUAUCUCCUUGAAUGGGUAGAUACCUUCACUAACUGGGCAGAAGCAUUUCCUUGUCAGGCAGAUAAAGUCUCUGAGGUGAUAAAAGUUCUAAUUAGUGAGAUGACCCCUCGCUUAUGACUCCCUAAGUACUUCCAGAGUAGUAAUGGUCCCUCAUUCAAGGUGGCUGUCAACCAGGGGGUCUCAAGGUUACUAGGCAUACAAUACUAUCUUCAUUGUGUUUGGAGACCACAAUCCUCGGGAAAGGUAGAAAAGAAAAAUGAUAUUAUUAAAAGGGAUCUCAGAAAACUGUCUCAAGAGACUCAUCUCCCCUGGAUUACUCUUCUCCCCCAUAGCCCUACUACGUGUUAGAAACACCCAUUCAAAGCUGGGUUUAAGUGCCUUUGAAAUGUAUGGACGGCCUUUUCCCAUCAAUAUUUCUUGCUAGACCAAGAAACCUCUGAUUUGAUUAAACAUAUAACUUCUUGGCCCAUUUCCAAUGGGAACUGAAACAACUGUUGGAGGUCCAACACUGUGAACUAGGGUCACCUCCAUUUAACUGAGGGGAUUUAGUACUGGUAAAGCCCCUUCCUUCUUUUUCCUUCUCUAGGUCCAGAGUGGGAGGGACCUUACACUGUACUUUGUUCUACUCCUUUGCCAGUGAAAGUCACUAAAAUAGAUUAUCAGAUUAUACUUGAGUACAGGCCUGGGAAGCUGAUGGAAUUACCUGUUGACCCAGAAGAGCCCCUGAAGCACCACUGUGAGAAAAUCAGAGAGCUCAAGCUAAAGAUCACAAAAGAUAAAUGUCAAUAAUUAACCUUCCAUGGAUGUCCUCUUUAUAGUCUUGCCUAUGCUUACUGUUCCUCAUUAUAAGGCAUCUUUGCCAAGGACCACUUACUCCCAAAGGCCCAUGAUACUAUCUACUCCCUUAAACAGCUAUCUCUCUUCUGAAGUUUAACUUCCCUUCCACAUAUGAAAUUUAAUACCUUUCAUUGAGUGAAACAGCUCUGGCCACAACAUUGUUUUCAGAGUGGUUAGUCUAUUUAUUUCCUAUUUCUGUUCUCUUUGGCACUAGGUAUUUUUCCUUUUAUCUCCUCUUUGUAUAAUACUCAUGUUUGGUUUAUUCAUAGUUAACCUCCUUGUAAGAUUUGCUUCUUCUCACCUAGAGGCCAUCAAACUCCAAAUGGUCAUGCAAAUGGAGCCUCAGAUGAUGGAUUCUUUUUACCAGGGACCCUUAGAUAGGUCUCUGAGAGAGACCUGACUGCCAUUUUCCCAAACAAUGCCUCUGUCAGCAUGAAGCAGUGAGAGCAGUCACCAUUCCUAUCCUGACAGCAGUUAGAUGUACCUCUUCAGAGGGGAGAUCAUAGUGAUAGGAGACAGACAGAUUCCUAGGCAUACAGGGAUGGUUCCCUGGUGAAACCCAACCUUCCAGCCAAAGAUAGUUUAAAUCCUGAAAACCGAGCUGCUAGUUCCGGAUAGAGUCCAUGACUGGAGUGAGAACUUUACUUGUUUGCCCACUCUUUCCCAAUUGGUUCUUUCUGAAUAACGGUUUUUAACCAAUUGAAUGUUGCCUUUUCCAAGACUACCAACAGCCUGUACCUCCUCAUUCCAAGCCUAUAAAAACCCCAAACUCAGCCUUACACAUGGCUACCUGCUUUCAGUCCCCUCUCACAGCUGAGAGCUUUCCUUCUUUUACUCAAUAAACUUCUAUUUUGCCUUAUUUGCUCUCCAUUGUCUGCAUACCUCAUUCCUCUUGGUCACAGGACAAGAAUCUGGAACCCACUGAACUGUGGGAAUGAGAGAGCUAUAACACGCCCCCAUUUACCAAGCUUCAAGCAGUGGGAAUAAAAGAGCUUGAAACACGCUUCCAUUCUCCAAACUAUGGGAGUGAAGAGCAUGACACUUCUGGAAGUCCAGACCUCAGGACUUCCCAAGCAAGAUCUGUAACAGCCCUUGGGGCUCCACAAUUGCUGGCAUCUCCACGUUUUGGGGAACCACCAUGUUCCAUCCAUCUACACACUGGUACCCCGUGUGGAAGCUGCUCAUGGCACACCCAGCUUAGCCAUGGGCUAUGCCUGGAGCCAUAGUGGGUGUGGCAUCCAGGCAGGCAUGAGCUGAGUGCAGCCUGCUAGGCUGACCAGGUGGAGAGAGUCCAACAGGCCAAAGUGAGGCCCCAGGCAGAGAUCACAGCAGCUGCAGAGAUUUCCAGCUGACGAUACAGCACUGAAGAAAUCCUGUUUCAAUGGCAGGAAAGAGUUAAUUAAUUAACUCAGUAGAUAUUGAAUAAACAUCUCUUUUAUCCAGGCACUGCCCUGGGCACUGCACAUAAAAUAGUAAAAAAGGUGUACAUUUUCUCUUAAGGAACUUGUAAUGAAGUAAGAAAUGCAGACAAGAAAGGAGAAAUUGUAACGUGAAAUUGUGCUACUCUUGAUGAAAAGAGUCAAACUCUGUAAAAUAUUUGAAGAGAUUUAUUCUGAGCCAAAUAUGAGUGACCAUGGCCAGCGACACAGCCCUCAGGAGGUCCCGAGAACAUGUGCCCAAGGUGGUCGGGCAGAGCUUGCUUUUAUACAUCUUAGGGAGACAUGAGAUUUUAAUCAAC
Molecule: long non-coding RNA, 3777 nt
Filed under: Homo sapiens (human)
Lineage: Eukaryota; Metazoa; Chordata; Mammalia; Primates; Hominidae
Description: HSALNT0116492
Source: RNAcentral